This 352-nucleotide ribosomal RNA is filed under the name uncultured bacterium. Its description in RNAcentral is "bacterial SSU rRNA". It matches the Rfam family "Bacterial small subunit ribosomal RNA", at positions 527 to 881 of the family's 1533-position model. The record is from RNAcentral.
GGAGGAUGCGAGCGUUAUCCGGAUUUAUUGGGUUUAAAGGGAGCGUAGACGGGUCGUUAAGUCAGCUGUGAAAGUUUGAGGCUCAACCUUAAAAUUGCAGUUAAUACUGGCGUCCUUGAGUACGGUUGAGGCAGGCGGAAUUCGUGGUGUAGCGGUGAAAUGCUUAGAUAUCACGAAGAACCCCGAUUGCGAAGGCAGCCUGCUAAACCGCCACUGACGUUGAGGCUCGAAAGUGUGGGUAUCAAACAGGAUUAGAUACCCUGGUAGUCCACACGGUAAACGAUGGAUACUCGCUGUUGGCGAUAGACUGUCAGCGGCUUAGCGAAAGCGUUAAGUAUCCCACCUGGGGAGU